ACACAGAAGGAGACAUUGAAGGUGUGAGUGCCCUGACGCUGUGGUCAGCAGUCUGGUCCCCGGGGGCACGCGGGGAGGGACAGAGGGAAGGGGAGCUAGGCUGCAGCUGCAGGACUGGACCUGCACUGGGCUCUGCCCAGCAGUAGGGGUGCGGCCUCUGGCAGACUGACCGCCCUUUGUGGUCUUCCCUCUGUGAAGCGAGGAUUAUUAUUCCUAAUAACGUAGUACAGGAUUUUUCAUAUCUUACUUUAGGUAACCUGUAUAGCAACCGUAGGAGGAAGAUGUUGUUAUUCCUAUUUUAAAAAUGAAGAAGGCCAGGGAUGUGGCUCAGUGGUAGAGCAAUUGCUUAACAGGCCCAAGGCCCUGGAUUUGAUCCCAAUACCACAAAAGCAAAUAAAUAAAUAAUAGAAAAAUGAUUGAAUAACCUAUAUAACCACCCAGUAGGCGAGUGGGAAGGCAGCAUUUCCUGGGCCACAUUCCAGUAUUAUCUCGCCUACCUCUGGGAGUCACGAGAGCGCCAUGUAAUAACAGGAAAGCAAUACAGAAACCUUAAGUCACCAUCGCCAGUGCCACAAUGUUUUCUUUAGUCAUUUAGCCAUUUUUGCCUUUUUCAUUUUCUGCCAAGAAAGCCACCGGAGGAAAAACAAAUUGUCUACUUGGGUAUUUAUGGCCUCCCUAUAGUAUUCCAAGUAGCUGGUGUCUACUUCUGGCUGUUCAGUUUGGGCUCCCGUCCACAAAUGUAAAGGAACCAUGGUAAUCACUGCAAACAUUUACUGUGCUCUGGAAGAGGGGAUUUUCUGUGAAAGGCUAGACUGAGCUUGAGGGUUAUUAAGCUGAUACAUUAAUUCCCUGCAGAACACAGCAGAGUCUGUAUUUGUCUCUCAGUUACCUGCAACUUCCACACCCUGUGGUUGACGUGCAGGUCCCAGGUGCUGCAGGGAGACAAAGAUGGCCUCCCCCUCGCAGGCACCAUGGCAACCCUACUCGGACAGGACUCUGAACAUCUUAUCAAGUGUUCCUGCUGAAAGCUGGGUACAAAGGAGGGUGAAACCAAAACCUUUUGGGGAAGAAGAGCUUCAGAAGCAGCUCCCCUUGAGUACCUUUCUGAAUCAAGCACACCACCUCAUGGGAUCCCCACCCCUACCCUCUUGCAGGGCAGAAGGUAUCCUCCUUCCACCUCCAAACACGACAAGUUCAGAGGUGGGGGCAAAGGCCCAAGAAUUGCCAAGAGUGACUGGCUCUGAAGCCUGAGCUUUCUCACACCUCCACACAAAUGUGGAGGGACAACAUCAAAGAAAUGUCAUUAAAUUUAAAUUUGUGACCACUUUUUGGCUCUAAAUAUAAGCAUGUUAGCCCACCCUACACACACACUAUCUUGUUACAUUAUGGCAUUCUGGUUUGCCUCUUAAAUGGCAGGAGGGAGGGCACACUGACCAUGUCCCUGGGAUUUUCAAGAAGGAAUUCCCUGGGGCAAGUAUGUAAGGGAAAGACACACAAGGUCCCCCAUUUGACUCAGGAAAUCCCCGUCCUGACAGUCCCAGAGAAACCUUGCCAAGCAGGAGCCCAAACUGAGGGACACAGGAGAUUAGGUUCAAAGCUGAAGAGUUUCACCGGCCGCCAUUUUGGGCUUGGGCCUGCAACUCCCCCGCAACCGAAUCCCAUUCCUCUAGCUAACCUCAAUCCCACAGCCACACUGGCAGACCUUCAGAGAAAUUUGGGAAACUGAAAAGUUCCACCUGGGCCUGUUUGGCAUCAUCUCUGCCAAGUGCAGCACCAGGCCUGGGCAGAGUAUGUGCCAGGGAAAAUCAGCUCCCAGCAGGGAAAGAUUAAAUAUGGGUGUCAUCGGACCCACAUGACCUGGAGUCAGAUCUUGUUAUAAAGUGUGCUGGCGCAGAGUGCGAAUGCUUCCCCUGCUAAAACUCUAGCGUAUUUCUGUCCUUAUCUCACAGUAUUUUUCUCCCUGGGGGGAAACUUAUUUUUUUUCCUCAGCCAGUUGGAAUCCUCAUCUAAACUAAGUGAACUUUUUAAAGCCUAAGUAAUCAUAAGAAGAAAGGAAAGGAGAAACUGGAGAGUUUGAAUUAUUUCUUUUGGCAAGUCUUAUAAACUAAUAGCUUUUAAAAAAAAAAAAAAUUUUAAUUUUCUUACAGGCUCAGAACAUAAUGUCUGAGGAGGGAUUAUAUUCCUGAACAAAACAAGAAAUAAUUUAGGGGUGUGAUAAAUGUGAUUUAAAAAAAUGUCUCUCUUCCUUAAAUAAUGGUCAGGAAUUGAAAGGCAAUCAGAUAGAGCUCCUGGACCUUAAUAGGUGAAAAAGAGCAGAAGAAAAUUCCACCAUGUGUCUACCACUGACAAAUGGCUUCGCAGACGUGGUGUGUUCUUACCAAGGAAUGUUAGCUACGGAGAGGAGAGGAAGGAAGUAUGGAUGGACCUAGCAUGAAAGAAGCCAGAUACUGAAUCACAAAGGCCACAUCUUAUAUGAUUCUAUUUAUAUGAAAUGUCCAGGUAAGCGAAAUCCACAAGUCAGAAAGCAGAUUAUUGUUACCUCAGGCUGAGAAGGACAAAGGAGUCUGGGCGGGGCAGGGGUGACGGGUGAAAAGUUAUGGGGAUUUCUUUUUUGGGUAAUGAAAAUGUUCUAAAAUCAAUUGUGGGGAUGGAUGCAUGAACCUGAAUAUACUCACAGCCACUGAACUGAGUAUUUUAAAUAGGCGAAUUGUAUGUUGUGUGAAUUAUAUCUCAGUAAAGAACAUGAGUGGUAGCACAUGCCUGCAACCCAGCUACUCAAGAGAGUGAGGCAGGAGGAUCGCAAAUUCAUGCCCAGAGAACUUGGCAAGACUCUGUCUCAAAAUAAAAUAAAAUAAAAUAAUAAAAUAAAAUAAAAUAAAAAGGGCCGCAGAUGUACUCAACACUCCCUGGGUUCAAUCCCCAGUACCACACACACACACACACACACACACACACACCCCCUACAAAGGCUCUUAAGUAUUUUCCCUAUUUUACAGGAAGACAAUGGGCACUUUCUGCAGCUGGCUACUGAGUGCCGUCAAGGGUUAACUCUUCUUGUGCAGAUACAAAGGAGACACAGGGAUGGGCCUGCGUCGUCGUCGGGCACCCCAGAAAUCUCCAGGGAAAGUUCAGGCAGUGGUGGGGUGGCGUGACAUGUGAGCUGGCCAAAGGAGGAAGCAGUGGCUAAAGCCCUGCACUUGGGGCAGCCAGGUGGCAUCGGGCUGUCGGUCCCCUCUGAGAGCCCCUGGCCACGACACAGGGUGACAGAAGUCAGCCCAGAGCCCUCGGGUGGGGAGGGCUCUUAGGACGAGUGACAAGGAUAUUUAGAAUCAGUCUGUUUUUCACCCCUUCCACCCCAGACUCCCAAGUAUUUGUUGCUUCCAGUUGCCUGGUGACCUAACAAACGCUGGUCCGUGUCCAGCAGAGCAGUGACUCUCAGUGUGGUUUGAGAGACAGUUGCACACAUCUGCCUCCUUGACGCGCGUGGGACCGGCCAAGCCUCCUCGUCAUCGCCACGGAAUGUGUGCGCGGAACCAGCCCCGAUUCGCUCAUCGCCCAGUUUCCAGCUCAGCCACAGGCAACGAGGAUGGGAUCCACCACAGACCUCCGGAAAAGGAGGGCAGCGGGCUCCAGGAUGAACGCUGUGGUCACCAUAUCCACCUUGUCACGUGACAGUGCAGGAGCCUCGGGCACAGACGGCCCAGCGGGGCUGGGAGUACGGCAGACUGGGGCCAAGCAGGCCUUUCCAACUUACCUCGCUUCCCAGGAGGGGAUCCCACAGUUAUUUCACCUCCAAAGGACAGAAAACACCUAUUUCCAUUCCCUUAACCCUGUCUGCUGCUCUGACGGGUUACAGGUGCUCCUGUAAGAACAGGUGUGUGCAUGGGUGUGUUUCAGAAUGCAUGUGCGUGCACAUACACACAAACACACACACACACACAGUCCACUCCACUGCCUGUCUAUGAAGAGGAAAAAGGACCCUGUGUAACAAUCACAAUACACCAGCCCCAAACCCACUAACAUCCCUUAUAUUAUAAAAUUGCAUGGUAUUUACAUACCUCCCCUACACUUUAAAUCUUUUGCAGAUUCCUCAUAAUACCUUAUACAAUACAAAUGCUACAUAAAAGAUUCUACUGUAUUUAUGGAAUAAUGAUAAGGAAUCAAAAUCUGCACAUGUUCAGGAAGGACACAAUCCCCCCCCCCCCGCCAAAUGUUUCCCAUCCAAAAUUGUAGUGGAUAGAAAAGCAUUUCUAUUAAGUUUUAUAAUUUUUAAAAGUUUUAUAAUUUUUUGAAAAAUAUAUACAGAACUAGGUAGUGAGAAGAUGCUUGUGGAAUUAAAUUUACCUUCUCAUCAUAACUAUAUGAUGUUAAGAUGAUACUAAAACAAGUUAACCAAAUGUUCCUGGAAUGCACGAGUAGGACUAACUGCAGGGAGAAGGGACCCACACGGCAUGCCAGGGCUUAACCCCAGAAGAUGCUCAAGGCUGAUUCCCAGGCUGCUGAAGCUCUGUGUGUCUGUGAGACCCACAUAUGUUUUUUGCUGGCAUUUUUAGACUGAGCUCGUGCAGACACUGGGGCCAUACGCGCAUCUCUGCAGCCUACAGCCUCACACCUCCCCAGAGAGCUUACUAAAGCUUACAGUCACCCGCCCACCGGCUCGGUGAGUGCAUCUGCAUGUGCCUGUCCAUCUGUGCUGGUCAGCUUGAUCUCGGGCCAUGCGUCUGGCUCUGUGCACCCACACUUCCUGUCCACUCCCCAUCGGCCCCCCGGGAGGAGCCAGACCUGCAGGAGGUUCCCCAGGGCUCAGCUCCGGCUUCCUGCAUGCUCCACCGUUCUAGGGCUCCCCAGAAUUGCAGGCCUUCUGCCCUCACCUCAUUCUCAAAAGCAAAAGCAGGAAGCAGGUGGGAAAAGCACUGUGAAGAUUUCCCUAACCCACACUGACAGCAGGGCUGGGUAAGGAGGAAGGUGCAGGCGGACCUCGCUAGCGGACACCCACUGGACACCAUCACCAGGACUGCUGCUGGGACUAAGUUCCAAGGCCCCUCCCAUCAUACUAGCCACGUGCCUCAGUUUCCUCAUCUAUAAAACGGGGACUGACCUAUCUGCCCGCGGCUGGUAUCAGCACGCUGGCUGCAUCUGUACUUGACAUCCUUAUUAUACGCACAAGGUCUUAGAAUUACUGUCGUUAUGCUUACACUCUCAUUUAAGCAAAAGGAAAACCUAACCAUCGCCUCUGUCAGCCGCCACGGCAGUUUAAUAAUACAACACGAGCCCUGGAAGAGGGCUGUGCGGAUCCCCCUGGCUUUGUCCGUGAGUGUGGAAACAGGAUCCCCAGAGCCGCAGCAGCCAUCCACUGUGGGCGUGCUGCCAAGCAGGAGAAACAUGAUGUUUUACUGAGUUGGAGUCACACAAGAAAUGGACUCGAGGCUUAGAGUACAUCAUGCCUAACAUGGUGGCCUGCACUUGAUGUCCACUGUGAAGAAAAGCUCACACAACCCAAUUCAUGCCGGGGUCGGGGGAGGAGAGGGGCGGCCCUCAGCGAGCAGCUGCCGGCUGAAUCCGGUGUUAAGCGAUCAGUGUGGACGGACAGCAGAGGCUCUGCAUGCCCAACACUCUCAGAGCAGGAAGCAGGAAGCCCAUACGAGGAGCAGCCCGGCUGGGCCCGGAGGGGAUAUCACGGGGACUGCAGGCUCCACAUGCCUGUCACCAAGGUCCGGGCUCGGGGAGCCAGCAGACACACGGGAUGGUGGGGUUAGGGGCACGUUCAUUCAGCACGGAUGAGCCGAACCUUGGUGGAAGGAGCCGGUGGGGAGGUGCGGCGGGACAGCAGCAAACCUCCAGGGGCUUGGGACACACUGCAUACGCAGAACCAGCCUGUGACACCCAGGAAGAUGAGGAAGAUGAGGAAGUCCAAGUCACUGCUCCUGCUUAAUCGGUGAGGUUAUAGGCGAUUCUCCACCACACCGUGGAGGUUCAGUGCUGGGAGAGCCAGACACCCAUCCCUACGGCGGGGAACAGGACGCUGUCGCCAUUUCGCAUGUCCGUAAAUACCUCUUAGGUGCAAAAUGACUGCAUGCACGAGAUGUCAUUAUUAUUGUAAUGAAAUAAUUUUGUAUACAGGUUCAUGCACGUUUAAAUAAAAGGAGGACAAAAAAUUAAUCCUGAAAGGUAUAUAGUAAAAUUGAGCAGUGAUUUUGCUAUUUCUUUGCUUAUCUGCAUUUCUGCCUUUUAAACAAUAGUAUUCAGCAUGAGUUACUUGUCCAGUUAGGGCAGCCCAAGGCCACACAGCAUGUCACUUGCGGAGCUCAACCUGACCCAGCUGUAUCCAGAGCCAAGCCCAGCCACAGCAACCACUUCCAGGAAAGCGGCACUUGGCCCACAGGCUGCUGCUGAAGUUGAUCCACUGGCCCCAGGGAGCCCAGCAUUGGGGAGCAACAGCGACCCUAACUGGGGAGACCCUGGGAAAGCAGCUCCACGCUAAGGAAGCCAGGGCCUUGCUUAGGGACAGCUAUUUCCAGCUCCUCACGAGGAAGAGCCUUAUUAUCCACAAGGGCUUUGCUUUAACCACAAAUAGAACCAUCUGCCGCUCACAGGGCAGGGUGGGCGCCAGUUUUGAUGGCACGGUCCGGCACGAAGCACCGGGUCUAGUCCCACCGGCAGACCGGAAGGACGCCGGAGGCCAACCUCACCCGGAAAACAACAGGCAGUUGUGCCCGCCCUGCCCAACCUCCUCCUCUGAGUGCCCUUAGGCCUGGGCAGAACAGCGGCUCACACAAGAGCAAGACCUGGAGUUCUGAGGGGCUGGACCUGCAGCCAACACUGGCUUGGAAAGACGUGGAUUCGAAUCCCAGCCUCUGAACUUACUGUGGCUGUGGGAAAACUACAUCUGUAGGCCUCAGUUUACCAACUCCUAAAAUGAGAAUAAAAACACCUCUGCAGUAGUUUUCUUCCAAAGGAUCCUGUAUGUCAGGUCCGGACGGAGCCGUCGCUGUGCCAUGGGAGGCAUGCGGGGCUCCACAGCACAGGACAGGGGUGACCGUGGCUUCUGUCCUGGCAGUGCUCUAUGGCUCUUUGGGUGGGCAGCAGCAGCCCUGCCUCCACCCGGUCUGUGCCAUCCGAAUCGGAGGGGACCCUGAGCUGUCGCCUGGCACAUGAAACUUGGGUGCAAAUUUGUCUGGGGCAGAGCCUGCUCACACGUGCCCCUGAGGAGCACCGUAAGAAACAGUCCCUUUGUGCCAUCAACCUGAGCUCCUCCCUUUUUGUUUGGAUUUGAGACAGGGUCUCGCUGUGUAGUUCAAGCUGCCCUUGAACUCAUUCUGUAACCAAGCUUGUCUUGAAUUCACAGCAAUUCUCCUGCCUCAGCCUCCCAAAUCCUGAGAUUAUAGGCCUGCGCCAGUACCCUUGGCUUCUUGACCUGAGCUGCUUCUGAGCAGGACAGUCUUCCCCCUGGAGUGAGCUGUACCCCAAAUUCAUAUCUACCCAGAACCCUAGACUGUGACCUUGUUUAGAAACAGGGUCUCUGCAGGUGUAAUGGAUCCAGGACACCGUCAAAAUGGAAUCAUCCUGGGUUUCCAGCAGGCACUAAAUUGACAAAAUUAGUAAAGUAGUGUCCUUAUCAGAAGAGGGGAAGAUGGGUACCAGCCAAGGGAAACCACCAAUGGCCAGAAGCCACCGAGCUGGAAGAGGCCAGGAGGUGUCUUUCCCGGAGCACGUGGCCCCGCCGACACCUUGACGUGGGACUUCCGGCUUCCAGGAUGAGGAGCACCCCCAUCGGCAGUCUCCAGUCCCUUCCACAGUUACCUCUGUCCCACGCAUGGAUUUGGGGGAGCCUUGAUCUACCCUCCUGCUGCACCUGCUGUGACAGGACCUAAGCAUCAGACUUGGGGACCCCAGCCAUCCUGGCCAAAGCCCAAGCUUGGAGCGCGUACACUGGCACACACCCACAUGCUCUCCACUCCAAACUUCCAAGAAUACCGUGCUGCCAAGAAAGGGCUCUAACUCCGUCUCUCAAUGGCCGCCUCCCAGUGGGGGAGGAAGGUUUUCUUUGCAGGUUGGUUGAGCUUUCUUUCCAGCUGUGGUAAGCUGCAGUGUGAACUGCCUCACCAAAUCUGGCUGCCCUGACCUGGGCUGCCUGAGCAACGUGGCACCCAAGGGUGCUCAACAGAGCAGCGAAGCCUGCUGCCCUGGCAGGACCCUGGCACCCAGACUGGACCUGAAAGGCACUGCCACCCUUCCCUUCUUGGCUUGGUCGUGCUUUUUGCUGGAUGAGCCCUGUCUCCCUUCCGCCUCUCUUUAAACACUCAAGGACAUCUGAAGUCAAUAAAAUACCCACAACUGCUUCCCCAGUGCAAGCCCUCCCUGUGUCCCUUGCCAGGGAAGGGCAGUGCUACAGGACUUUGCUCUGUGGCCGGGGUGGCCACUUCCCUCUGGGGCAGAUGGCCUGGGAGAGCCAGGGGCUCGGGGAUCUUGGAUGGUUCUCAGCCUGGCUUUCCCACCGAUUUCCUUAAAAAUCACCUCCCAGACUGGAGAUGAAGCUCGUGGUACUGCCCUGAGUUCAGUACUCAGCACCACACCAAAACAAGUAAAAAAGAAAAAAUAAAAUCAUCCCUUCUUGGAGCUCCUGCUUUAGCAAAGGAGAGGCAGAGUGGGUGGGACGGUUUCUCGGGCCCUUUCCUAGGCUGACAGCUCCAGAUGGCAGAAUGCCUUCCAUCCCUGCUGUGGAGGAGUCUGCCUGUUCCUCACUCACCCACCCUGUGUUAUUCAGCCCCAUCGAGGCCCAGACACUGGACAUGGGGGCAGGGGCGGCCAGCAUCAGGCUGAGCCCUCAGACAGAGGGGGUGCAGCUGGAGCAAUGUUGGGAGGGCCAGGGCCAGGCCGGGUGGCAGAGGGAGAGACCAGAGAUGCUCAGAGGGGCCAGAGGGGGGGCUCUAGGCUGUCAGGCGGGGGCCAGAUUGGGAAGGAACUUUGGAGUCUUUCUGGGGGCACAGGGAGCUGGGAGGGCCACACGCAGAAGCACAGCAGCGUCGAUCCAGGUUUCUUUAGGAACCAGGUUCUGGGCCACCAGAAAUGCACAUCCUAUCCUCAGCCAGAUCAGAGAACCCCUUCCACGGUCAUCUUGAUCAAAAACCAGGGGGGCCCUCUUCCUUCUGCCCGCCCUCGGGGAGUGAUCAGCAACAGGAGGACCCUGAGACUACAGUCUGCACCCGCAGACCUGCGUCUGCCCCUGCAGCUCCCUCAGCAGGAGUGGGCCAUGGGGUAGACUCCCAAGCCCUCUACGGCUCGCCUUACACCUCCCUGACUCAGUCUCCCGCCUCAGAUUCCUGACCCCGGGACAGGCACACCAGGAGCCCAGAAAUGAGCAAAUGCACACGAAACUACCCAAUGCAGUGCUUGACUUCAAACAACAUGCUCCAUCCACGUGAGGCUCCCUCCUCCUGUCGCCGAGCGGGGCAGGAGCCACGCUCAGGCAGGAGUGAAAAGCCCAAAACAGGAACCGGAGCUGGCACAGACGAACUCGGUGUGGGCUUGGGCAACAGCCUGACGCAAGUGGAUCUGGCACGGCCACGGGAGCUUUGGCAGCCGAGCGGGGCACAGAAGUGCCCUCAUCAACAGCGUCGCGGGUGCUCCCAGAGCUCCGCUCCUCUUGGUUCCUUAGCAACUGCCCUAUUUGGGAGAAUGCUGAGUGCCACAGGGAGCUGGCUCAGGAGCCUGUGCAAGACAGGAAGCACCCCCAAACAGCAUGCAGCGUCUGCCCUGUUCCCCUGCAGCCUGGCCCAGAUGCCGCUGUAAUCUCGGGGCAGAGGGGCCAGGUCCCUGCAGAGAGGCCUUGGUUACCUCCACCGCCCCCAGACAAAGCCCAGCUGCCAUCUGCUGUCCUACAAACCACGGAGCCGGAGCCGCUGACACGGUACAAGGCGGGUAAAGUCACCCAUGGCGGACACAGGCUGUCGACACUCGGGCCCAGGGCAGGCACGGAGGGCACUGCAGAGUCCAGGGGGGUCGCAGGCCUAUGGACUCCUCAGCCAACCGAGGCCUUCUGGAGAGUUCGGGUGUGGACACAGUGUAUCAUUUUAUCUUCACCAACUUUAUUUCGGGGAAUUAAAGAAUUCUGCCAGGCC
Non-coding RNA from Heterocephalus glaber (naked mole-rat), 10118 nucleotides. The record is from RefSeq and is a predicted model, not a curated record. Lineage: Eukaryota; Metazoa; Chordata; Mammalia; Rodentia; Bathyergidae.